AGAAUCAACGCUGGCGGCGUGCCUAACACAUGCAAGUCGAACGCGAAAGUCCCGAAAGGGAUAAGUAGAGUGGCAAACGGGUGAGUAACACGUGGGUGACCUGCCUUCGAGCGGGGGAUAACGGUCCCGAAAGGGACGCUAAUACCGCAUAACAUCCUGCCUUUUAAGAGGUGGAGAUCAAAGCCGGGGACCGCAAGGCCUGGCACUUGAAGAGGGGCCCGCGUCUGAUUAGCUAGUUGGUGGGGUAAUGGCCUACCAAGGCAACGAUCAGUA
Molecule: ribosomal RNA, 273 nt
Filed under: uncultured bacterium
Lineage: Bacteria
Description: partial small subunit ribosomal RNA
Rfam family: Bacterial small subunit ribosomal RNA
Source: RNAcentral